Long non-coding RNA from Physeter macrocephalus (sperm whale), 4898 nucleotides. RefSeq lists it as uncharacterized. The record is from RefSeq and is a predicted model, not a curated record. Lineage: Eukaryota; Metazoa; Chordata; Mammalia; Artiodactyla; Physeteridae. The transcript has 3 exons.
CCCUGACCGGCGUGGGAAGGGACACAGCUCUGGCUGUAACUCAGGCCUUCCCACGACCAGGGUCAACCCAGCACUCCAGCUUCCCAGGACCAGGCCUCCCUGAGGCCCCCCGUGGUCGCAAGCUCCUCAUUGGCUGCCUGAUGCUGUAUGCAUACCUGCCACCAGACUCUCCUGAGACCCUCUGAUGCCUUCAGGUGGGUGAAUUUUUUUUAACUCCUCUGUAGUCCAGCUGUGAAAAUAAGUCCAGUAAUUGGAGGAAGCCCUGCACACUCUGUCCUGCUCUUAUUCAUGCACAGACGACAUGAACAUAUUAAGGUUCUGAGAAGUCCUGCAAUUUCCCAAAGCGUCAUGGUCCCCAUUUGACACAGUGAGUGCUCCCCAGACAGAAGGUGGGUGCCUCCUCAGACAGUCCCUGUGCCUUUGGGACAGCCCACUUUCCCCUCCCCCCGCUGCCCAGAGUGGAUGCUUUGGCCUCUUCUCAAAGCACUGGGCAGGUCUCAAUGAGCUGGCUGAGGAGCACUUGUGUGAUGUGGGGGAUGAUGCCUGUUUGACUCACAGAGAGACAGAGACAAAAGGAGAUCAGGUGAUGAAGAAAUUCAAACCCAGAGCCAGUGAGUCAGAGUCUCACCCCCAGCCUGUCCUUGACCUGGGCAUCCCCUCACAAGCCUGGCUGAUGCCAAUAUCCUAAGGGUUAUCAGUAAUUAGAAUAUCUCACCCGGGACCCCUGACCACUGAUUUCAGGCCCCUCCCGGGCUGCGUGUUCUGCUCAGGCAGGACUGCUGACUCAGACGCAGGCCACACCAGCGCCCAAAGCAACUCUAGAGAUCUUCCAUCCUGUCUAGUUCUUUCAUGUCAGCUGGAAUUGCUUGGCAAUGACUUCCUGGAGAGAGCACUGUUGAUUCUGACUCUUGUCUGAUUCAGGGCUCAGCUCAGCAGACAGGUAAUGCUAUGAUCCAUUGGUAAUAUCUGCCAUGGUUGGAAAGGAAAGAGUGGUGGGUUUGCCCCAAAUUAACAUCCUGGCUCUAGUCUGUGGGUCAGUUCAGAGGUCCCUCCUGGAGUUGGGGGCAGCCUAUGAGAGGGAGCUGGGCUCUACAGUUUAUAAAGGGAGCUGAGACAUGAAGGAGACAGUUGAGGGCACAACCAUCAGGUAGCACCUUGUCCAAGCCAGCCUCAGCCUGCCUGCCACUCCCACAUCCUCCUUCGCAGAAGCAGUCGUGUCGGUCCCACGUGACCCCUACCUCCCUGGUUGUAGCCGACUGGACCAUGGGUGGGGACCCAGUCUAUAGGCUGAUUCACCAGCCUUUGAGGUAGCCUGGUGGGAAAAUUAACUGCACCAAGUAGAUCCUCUUGGGGAAUGUGAAUUGAAGGCAGAGAGAACAGUGGACGGCAAAAACCGAAGCUGAUCAACAAACAGAAGUGCAGAGAGAGAGAGGAGAGAAGCUGCGUGGGGUUAAUGAUACACCCUAGAGUGACAACCUCCCAAUUCCUACAGCUGACACACCAGCUCUGGGAGUCGCCUUUGGUGAGGCUAUGGGAGGGCAAAAGCCAUGCUUGCUGGUUUAUCAAUAAUCAGGUCCCUAUAACCCACCGAAUCUGUUUCUGGCCAAAGGGGUUUUUCAGUCUCCAAGGGAUGGGCUGUCAGGGUGGGCUCCAGAGGGCAGGUCUGUGAGAUAGUGGGUGAGCACCCUGCUGGUGACACUUGCUCUCACUUGCGGGGUCUAGUAAAAUCUCUUGAGGGUGGGGAAAUGGGCCUUCAGAGGACAUGUGUGAAUUCAUCAUGGGUUGCAGCCUGGUUUUAGCCUUGCAUUACUUCAAUAAACAUUGAUAAUGAUCAGAUAAGAGCCUGGGCUCACCAUCCAGAUCCCUUGGAUUUGCCACUUACCAACAGUGUGACUUUGGGCAACUCAUGUCAACUCCCUGUGCCUCCUGUUGGUGGGAAUGUAAACUGAUCCAGCCACUAUGGAGAACAGUAUGGAGGUUCCUCAAAAAACUAAAAAUAGAACUACCAUGUGACCCAGCAAUCCCACUACUGGGCAUAUAUCCAGAGAAAACCAUAAUUCAAAAAGACACAUGCACCCCAAUGUUCACUGCAGCACUAUUUACAAUAGCCAGGUCAUGGAGGCAACCUAAAUGCCCAUCAGCAGACGAAUGGAUAAAGAAGAUGUGGUACAUACAUACGAUGGAAUAUUACUCAGCCAUAAAAAGGAACGAAAUUGGGUCAUUUGUAGAGACGUGGGUGGAUCUAGAGAUUGUCAUACAGAGUGAAGUAAGUCAGAAAGAGAAGAACAAAUAUCGUAUAUUAACGCAUAUAUGUGGAACCUGGAAAAAUGGUACAGAUGAACCGGUUUGCAGGGCAGAAAUAGAGACACAGAUGUAGAGAACAAACGUAUGGACACCAAGGGGAGAAAGUGACAGGGGUGGUGGUGUGACGAAUUGGGAGAUUGGGAUUGACGUAUAUACACUAAUGUGUAUAAAAUAGAUAAGUAAUAAGAACCUGCUGUAUAAAAAUAUAAAUAAAAUAAAAUUCAAAAAAAAUUAAAGAUUUUGGAAAAAAAAAAAACUCCCUGUGCCUCAGUUUCCUCAGCUGUAAAACGGGGGCAAUGAUGGCACCUGACAGGGUUGCUGCGAGGGAUUAAAGUAAGGACUGGCACAGAGUAAGGGCUACUAAAUGUCAGGCUCUGUGCUGGGUGUUGAAGGUACCAAGUGGAUUUGUCUCUUGCCCCCAUGGAGCAUAGAGUCUAGAAUUCAGUGGCCACUGGGGGACCCUGCCCACCUGUGACCUCUGUGCUGUGGGGCAACUGGUCUUUUCUGGGCCUGAUGUCAGCCAGCCCUGGUGAGACUGACAUCUGCCCCCACACGUCUAGUCCUGCUUCUGCCCUCCUGGCCAGGCCUGGCAGUGGCAGAGCCUGUGCCCAAGGGGAGGGAGGCAUUCAGGGCUGGGAGGCAGGAAGGAGAAGCACUAACAUCCCCUGGAGCCGUCAUGGGGGUUCCCUCUACUGAGUGGCCACUGUGUGGCAGACAACAUGCGAUAGACAUCCCUGUAUUCAUUUCCUAGGGCUGCGGUAACAAAGUACCACAGACUAGAGGCUUGAAACAACAGGAAUUUAUUUUCUCACAACUCCUAAGGCCAGAAGUCCAACAUCAAAGCGACAUUUGGGCCAUGUUCCUUCCAAAGGCCCUAGGGGAGAACCCUUCCUUGCCUCUUCCAGCGUCUGGUAGCUUCUGGCACUCCUUGGCUUGUGGCAGCGUCAUUCCAAUCUCUGCCUCGGUCUUUACACAGCCUUCUCUCUGUGGAUAUUUGUGUUUUGUCUCUGUGUCCAAAUUUCCCUUAAGGACACCAGUUGUAUUAGAUUUAGGGACACCCCCUAAUCCACUAUGACCUCAUCUUAGCUGGAUUACAUCUGCCAAGACGCUUUUUCCAAAUAAGGUCACCUUCACAGCUUCCCGUGGAUGUAAAUUUUUUUUUUUUUGCCACACCAUGCGGCUUGCCGGACCUUAGUUCCCUGCCUAAGGCAACAGGGAUUGAACCUGUGCCCCCUGCAAUGGAAGCAGAUUUCUAACCACUGGGCCACCAGGAAAUUCCUCCGUGGAUGUAAAUUUUAAGGGGACACUAUUCAACCCAGUAAAAUCCCUUAGCCACCACCUAUCAGAGUGAAUUUGGUGUUAUUUCCCCCAUUUUACAAACGCGAAAACUAAGGCACAGACCAGCCCAAGGCCAUACGGCAAGGUGGACUUCAAACCCAGCUCUCUGACCUACAAGAGGCCUCUGAGUUCCUAAUGGUGACCAGACGCUAGGGCUCUGGAGGAGAAACUGGAGCUACACGUAUGAGGAAGAAGGAAGCAACAACAGGAAAUUCCUUCUCAGGGCAAUGUCCAAGGCUGCUGAAGCUCAGGGACUGGACUUCAGCCUCCCAGCCCUCCUCCCCUCUUUCUGUAACCCCAGAACCCUCAGCCCUUCCCAGCAACAGGCAGGAAGCAGCUUAGCCUGAUGCUCCGCCGAGGUCUGUGCUGUGCUGAUCUGGCCCGAAUAAGCCAGCAGCAGCUCAGGGGGCAAAGUUGGAAGGAAUGUUUAUCUGGGGCCAGCAGAAGGGAGAGGGCUGGAGCCCACAGCCAGAGCCACUUGCCUGGGAAGGGCCCCCCUUUCGUGUGUGUGUGUGUGUGUGUGUGUGUGUGUGUGUGUGUUGGUCGAAGGCCCUGUUGCCUGUCCUGGGGCCCUGCCAGAGCUGGGACAGCUGCUGAUUCUGAUCACAGGAGUAUGUUCCUCAGGGAGGGAGGCCCCUUAGAGAUAUCCCAGCCCAAGGGUAUCAAAUAAAUGUCAGGUCUACCACCAUACUCCCUUCCUCUGAAUCCUCCUCAACACAGUGCCCGCCAGAGCUACUGUCUAUCAACUGGAGCUGGCAGAAGAGUUAAAAACUGCCCUGUGUUUCCAGUUCCAGACCCAGGAGUCUCAGCCUCAGUGAUACCUUCCCGAGGGGUUGAAAAGCAUCCUCUAGAUCCUACAACUUGAAGAGAGAAGCAGGCCAGUUCUCCCAGUCCGGGUCCCAGGCUCUUUUUCCUUACACUCACACUUAGUACCCAGGGUGACAUCCAAGCCUUCCUGUCCUCCCACUCCCUGUGAAUCAUUCCUGGCCGCUACCAAGAACCAGGCUUCACAGCUGUUGCUGUUGCACCCUGGUGCUGGCAUCUGAGGACAGCUGCUGCUGCUGCAGGGCCCACCCCGCCCCCAGGGCAGCUGGUCUGCGUGACAGGAAAGCGCUGAAUGGUUCUGAAGUACAGGUGCUGACAAUCCAGCAGCAAACAAGACAGAUGCAAUCCCCUGCCUCAGAGAUGGAAACAGGCACUGAACAAACAUCUAAUCAUGUUGAGAAGAAGACUCCUUAUGAAUGAACUAUCAGAGA